GAGGAACUAAAAAAAAUUGCUACCAUUUGCUAUUAAUAUAACUUGAAUUACCAGGGGCUGAUUAUGUUACAGAUGUAAAGUCAUUAAUACAUAUAAAUAACACCUCAAAAUACCAACUAAAACUGUGAAUACCUAAGCUAAACCAUCUAAAAUGACUUAGUAGACAACGGGGUAAGAAAUUUAGUACAGCCAAAUAGACUUCCUCCCCUGGCAAUUAUGCUCUCCAAGAUCAAACCUGGUUACAAAGGCAAAGGGGGACUAGUGUUACAAUUCUCUCAAUAACACAGGGUAAGAAGUUUUAUUUCCCCCUCAAAAUAAGGUAAAGAGAUCACCCUUUGUCAAACAUGUUCAAGGAAGUUCUUGUUCCAAUUUCUCACUGUGCUCACAAGGCAUCUCGCUGCAAAGAUGCAUAAGGGAAGCUUCCUCAACUAUUCUGCUGUAUAUCAACAAUUUCACAGAUGCCUUCUUGCUCAAAGUGAAGUUCCAAUUUAGCAGGAUGCAUGCCAAAGAAAUGUAGCUCAGUCCAGAUGUUAGCAACUUAGAAACUGAACAAGAAAAGAGGGGGCAAGAAGAAGAGGAGGAGGUCUAACACACCAGUAGUUGACACAGCUAAAAUAAUUAUGAUCCUAAACUCGGACCAAUGCAUUAGUAACUGCAGCUCAAAAUUGUGCCACGUAGGUAUUGGCUGAGUGGCAGGUUCAGAAACUUUGCUAAAUAAGAAAAUAUGCAUCUAAUUUAGCUAAAAUACUUGCUCUGCACCAUAAACUGGUUAAAUAAAUGGCAAGAAUUCUUCAACAUCUGCAAUAAGCCAAAAAGUAAAUGUAUUCACUGUUAGGUACACAAGUUGCUGAGGCAAUUCUCACUGCAGAGGACUAGGAUGUUAGCAAACACAGCAUCACAUGACAGCCCUAGAACUUUCAUAACUUUUCUGCACAUUGAGAACAUAUCGAGCAACUGCCCAAGAAAAUAUGUCUGCAUCCCCCUAAGAGUUACGCAACAACUUAAGAAAAUGAAGAUAUUGUUAUAAAUAUUUCAAGGACAGCACAUUUGAUAUACAUUCUGCCUGUCUCUACGGCUUAGAUGGAGGAUGAAUAUUUACACUUUGAAUAGCACUAAAAUGCAAAACGGGUUAGAAGAUUUAUGUCCCAGAAAUCUGGCAUUUCAGAUUUUUGCUGCGAAUGGUGCAUACAUAAAUUUAAACAGCCACCAAGUCCUCUCUCUCUAAUCUAAUCAUCCACUACAUUCUUGUCACACCCUUUUUCUAAUGCAAGACUCACCUGAAAGAGACUACUUUGCCUGGGAAGUGAAAAUGAUUGAUUGGUAAAGAAAGCCAGAAGUUGAUGAUGUCUCCCUAGACUAAACUGAGAAAUAUUAACUCUUGCAUGAGGAGAAUGACUAUGCCUACUUCGAGGUUCUUCAAUUUCCAAUGGAGAUCCUCUUAUCACCUAUUAGUAUAUAGAGAAAGCAUGCUUUAUUCUUCUAUUUUGCUCUUCUCUAUAAACUUACAUACAGGCACCUCCAGUAGCUCUAUAAAGAUCAUAUGCAUAUCUGACAGCAUAAUUAUUGAAAAGAUGUAUGCAAGACAGAAUAGCCAUGUAGACAGAUGCACUAGGCGAUAGCUCAACAUUAAGGCAGUGUAAAUCACAUUCCAUCUCCACUCAUGCAUGCCAAUAAAUAAUAAGAAACAAACCGCAGAACAAGGGUAACUAUCAGAACUUACCAGAAGUUUUCAUGCCAGGAAGAUUCUAGAAUACAGCAACCACCCAACAAAAUUAUGAUGCUCCUGCUCCACGUCAAUUGCUGCAACUGCAAUGUUUAUAACUCAAGAAGUAUCUGUUAGCAAGAACUGCAAAUCUAAAAUGCAAUUAACAUUAUUCAACUCAAUCACAUAAUAUGGAUGCAUAAAAAUUGGCUGAUAAAUAAAGCCAAUUGAACUUUACAAAGACGAAAUUUGAAAAUCAAGAAAGAAUGAGAGCUGUUAUUCAAUCAAAUAAUAAUAUAUAUAAUGAUCAACUGAUACAAUCUAUUCCUAUAUAACCAAAAAUCCACAAGCGCACCAUGUGCUGAUGCAAAUGAAGCCCUAUUGAUCUAAAUUCUUUGAUUUAUCAUCUUUUUUCUGGCUAGCAUGACUCUCUGGCUGCUCAACAGGAUUUUCAUCAGCCGGCCACUUCUGAAUACCCGAACUUCCUGCCACUUGUGCAGAACCUAAAUCCCAGAUAUCUGAGAAACCACCAGUUGAUCCUAACUCUGGCACAUCAUAGUUGACAAGAUUACCCCAUAACUCUUGGCUAGAACUAGACAUACCAGCUUGGUUGUCAAAUCCCAUGCUCCAUACAUCCUCUUGUUUCAUAAUGCUUUCAAUCCCAGUACAUGAGAAUUCCAGAAAAUUCUUCUCUGUUGCCAAAACCUCAGGGAAAGAAACGAAAUAUUCAGGAGCAACUUCUUGUUCUGGACUGAUAACAUUCUUUCCUUUAAUCUGGGGAUCUUCACUCCCCAAGUUUGAUUUGCCUUCUUGAAACUGCUCUGGAGUUUUGAUAUAUCCUUGGGCCAUUGCUAGUUCAUCUGACAUGGCAAACUCAUUAGAUGGAACAUUCUCAAGUUGAAAAGCCAUGCCUUCAACAUCUUUACCCAUUUCUACCAUCUCUUGUAAGAUGUAAUCUGGAGUUUGUUCAACAGGAGCAGGGUUUACAUCUGGGACUACAGCGGAUGAUGAUAGGUUUGUCCACUCAGGUCUGUACCUCACAAUCUGCCCUUCCAUAGGUGAUUCAGAUUGUCCUGGCUCAUGGUGCUGUUGCUCGACAAACUUCCUUUUCAUCCUUGAUGAACCAAUAUCUCCCUGUUUCUUAUUUUGCCUAAGGCGGGCCAAGAAUGCUGGAUUCUGAAACAACUUUACCAAGAAUGAAAUCAUCUGCUUCUGCCUCUGCUCUGCUCCCUGAAGCCUUUGACGCACUGCUUCCAUAUGAUGAACAGCUCCAUGCUGCUCCUGGUGCAGUUCUACAACCUCUUGCAUCAUCAUACUCCUCUCUUCACUCAAUCUUUCUAUCUCUCUUUCCAGUUCUGACUUUCCCACUUCAGUAGAAGGCCCAGUAUAGCUAGCAAACUGCCGGGAUUGGGGUGACUUGCGCCUCUGUAUAUUCUUCAACAGACGCCUCUCACCUCGCCGGAAAGCUUCAUUGGCAAAUUCCCACUUAUCACUGUCAAUCUUGCGGAACCCCUGAAUACAUUAUCCAAAGUUCUUCAAGAAUGAAUGGGGAAGAAACAGAAGUCCAUGAAACAAAAUAUAGAAACAUUUGAUUCAAAUAAUAAAUAUGUGCUUCAUGAAAGAAAACCUGAAUCUGUCACUUUCAUGCACAACCUUAGUCAGAUGUCACUGAACAGGAUUUUCAUAACAUGCACACAAUAAUAAAAUAUGCUCCACCAGAACCUUAAAUUCUACCUGCACAAGAUGUAACUCCCCACUCCAAUACACGCUCAGAGGGGAAGGAUGUCCUUUCGUUGGCAGUAUGAAGAGCAGAACCUUUACAGUUCUCUUAAAUCUACCAUAUUCAUUUCUUAAAGGAGAAGACAAGCCUAACCCAUAGGUGAUUCUCCCUCAACAUUACAAUUCUACAAUUCUAAAGGUAACUACAAUAAUCAUUACAAUUCAACUGGAUACAUAUCAAUCCAUUACAGUUACAUGUACGAUUACAAGAAUUAUCCUAUACAAACCACAAAAUUUACAAAAUUCGAAAGUAGUCCCAAUGCAAAAAGUUUUCCUCAGCUACAUCUACAAGUAUUGAACAAAUGUUAGAUCCAAUUACAAUUUCAGCUUCAGUUGGAAAAAAAAAGAAUCGAAAGAAGGAAAAGACUAACAAAAACAAAACAUGAGAAGGAACAAAUAUUCAGCAAGGAAAGAGCACAGCAGCCAAUGGUGGCUGUUGUGGUAAUGCAAUACCCACAUAAGUAUUGAGUUGCCGAACAAAACUGGAGAAAUUGUUGUGCUUGAAAUUCCGAGGCAGUAUGACCCUAGCGAAUUCCACUGGGUCCCACACCACAAAGCUUUCCCCUGUGGUCCCCCACGAGAUUAUCGGGUCCAGCGUCCGAUCGUUUACCAGAUCAUAAGUUUUCGAGAGAAACGGCGGCAUAGGAUUCUCCUGUAAGCUGGCAAGAGGAUGAGGCAUCCCAAUGUUCUCCUCCGCGUAAUCACCUGUAUAUACUCCACUAGCUAGUUCAGUAGGGGCUCUUUCAGUUUCAGAUAUAGGAUUUGUUUUGAAUUCAAAAAUCUCCGAAGGAGAAUAAACUGAUUGUUCUAUGACAGAGAAUGCUCCGAAUUCCAUUAAAGGAUAAGGGAUCGGCGCAGAUAAAGGAGACUCAGAGUAGCUCAAAUCCUCCAUAGUAGGGAACAGUCGAGAACCCAUCAAUGGCUGUAACAAGGAUGGAGUCGCCUCCGAUUCCGACGUAGAAGAUGAAUCGGAAGGUUUACGAGGCGAUUUUGGAGAUUUUUCUUCUUCAGGAACCAUUUGUUAAGGUACAAAAAUCAAUGGGUACUUGUUUCGGUUUCGGUUCUAAGAGAGAAAAAAGGCGUAAUAAGGUAUCACGUGGUCGGUGAGAAAUGUAAGGUGGAAAGGGUUUAUAUGGGGGUUUAAAAGGUUUCGCCGACUAACUGUUUGAUAAAAAUCUAAAGGGAGGCGGUGAAAGUUCGGGUCUUCUUCCUCAGCCACGGCCAUAAAAUCUUUGCGAGGCAUUGGCUGGGAUUCACAGCAAGUGUCACUGUGUUAGAGAGAGCCGAUCCGAACUUUCCUAAUCCUUGCAGGAGGCGCAGAUAUUUUCAAUUUUUUAUUAGUUGUGUUUUGAUUCCAUGGGGCUGUGCAAUUCCCUUAUUGGCUCUCGAAGAAAAAUACUGUUUUCAGGUUGAAAGUGGAUGACGCUG
Molecule: unclassified non-coding RNA, 4909 nt
Filed under: Hevea brasiliensis (rubber tree)
Lineage: Eukaryota; Viridiplantae; Streptophyta; Magnoliopsida; Malpighiales; Euphorbiaceae
Source: RNAcentral